CCCCUCUCAGGGUCGCACCUGGAGAGCUUCCAAUACUCUACCAGUCUUGAGUUUUGGAGGGAGAGUUAAGCAGAAGCACACCCAUUCCAUUCCUAGCUUGGGCAGUGGCUAAAGCGUGGAAGGCAAUCUGCUACAAGU
Molecule: small nucleolar RNA, 138 nt
Organism: Ornithorhynchus anatinus (platypus)
Lineage: Eukaryota; Metazoa; Chordata; Mammalia; Monotremata; Ornithorhynchidae
Source: RefSeq, a predicted model, not a curated record